This 428-nucleotide unclassified non-coding RNA is filed under the name Lasianthus hookeri. RNAcentral describes it as "partial external transcribed spacer". Lineage: Eukaryota; Viridiplantae; Streptophyta; Magnoliopsida; Gentianales; Rubiaceae. The record is from RNAcentral.
CCAGGUAGCAUUCCUCGCAGACAAUACUCGAAGGGGCAUGCAAAUGCCACGACGAGAGUCGUUCAGUUGGGACAAAAAUCACUAGCAACGGGCCAAGACGAGCCAUUGUCGUCGUACCCAAUGCAUAUUCCGCAUCCGAGAGCUCAAGCGAGCGUUCAUGGGCCAACCAACUACAAUCGCAAUUCGAGUUACGUGGGACACAAACAACGCUUCGAGGUUCACCGCGUCAAAAGCCUGUAACUAAACAGGCAGACGCCGUGUGAAUGAUGCACGAUUUGGCAGCAUAAUUCCGUAUAGUAGGAAUGCAACACAGGAAACCAAAGAAAAUGGGUAGCCAAGACAAGGUGCUCUUGUGGAACUAUCAAAUGAAGAGGAGCGCACGGCCAAUCGUCACUGCCACAACAAUGAUCCAACCAACCCAUACAAGA